GUAGUGGCAAGCGUUGUCCGGAAUUAUUGGGCGUAAAGCGCGCGCAGGUGGUUCUUUAAGUCUGAUGUGAAACGCCCCCGGCUCAACCGGGGAGGGUCAUUGGAAACUGGGGAACUUGAGUGCAGGAGAGGAAAGUGGAAUUCCACGUGUAGCGGUGAAAUGCGUAGAUAUGUGGAGGAACACCAGUGGCGAAGGCGACUUUCUGGCCUGUAACUGACACUGAGGCGCGAAAGCGUGGGGAGCAAACAGGAUUAGAUACCCUGGUAGUCCACGCCGUAAACGAUGAGUGCUAAGUGUUGGGCGGGUUUCCCGCCCCUCAGUGCUGCAGCUAACGCAUUAAGCACUCCGCCUGGGGGGUACGGUCGCAAGCUG
This 372-nucleotide ribosomal RNA is filed under the name uncultured organism. RNAcentral describes it as "partial 16S ribosomal RNA". It matches the Rfam family "Bacterial small subunit ribosomal RNA", at positions 528 to 896 of the family's 1533-position model. The record is from RNAcentral.